CCUACGGGAGGCAGCAGUGAGGAAUAUUGGUCAAUGGACGAGAGUCUGAACCAGCCAAGUAGCGUGAAGGAUGACUGCCCUAUGGGUUGUCACCUUCUUUUAUAUGGGAAUAAAAUGUUCCACGUGUGGGAUUUUGUAUGUACCAUAUGAAUAAGGAUCGGCUAACUCCGUGCCAGCAGCCGCGGUAAUACGGAGGAUCCGAGCGUUAUCCGGAUUUAUGGGGUUUAAGGGGAGCGUAGGUGGAUUGUUAAGUCAGUUGUGAAAGUUUGCGGCUCAACCGUAAAAUUGCAGUUGAAACUGGCAGUCUUGAGUACAGUAGAGGUGGGCGGAAUUCGUGGUGUAGCGGUGAAAUGCUUAGAUAUCACGAAGAACUCCGAUUGCGAAGGCAGCUCACUGGACUGCAACUGACACUGAGGCUCGAAAGUGUGGGUAUCAAACAGGAUUAGAUACCCCUGUAGUC
RNAcentral lists this ribosomal RNA (460 nucleotides) under uncultured bacterium. RNAcentral describes it as "partial 16S ribosomal RNA". It matches the Rfam family "Bacterial small subunit ribosomal RNA", at positions 338 to 795 of the family's 1533-position model. The record is from RNAcentral.